This 1689-nucleotide long non-coding RNA is filed under the name Cricetulus griseus (Chinese hamster). RNAcentral describes it as "lncRNA (ENSCGRG00015035274.1)". The record is from RNAcentral. Lineage: Eukaryota; Metazoa; Chordata; Mammalia; Rodentia; Cricetidae.
CCUGCCUCCCUCUCUUCCUCCUUUCUGCCUUUCUUCCUCCCCUCCUUCCUCCUUUCUUACCCCUUCCUUCUUCCCUCCUUUCCUUACUGCCCCUUCUCUUCUCUCCCGUCCUUCCCUCUCCCCUCCCAUCCUGUCAUCUUCCUCCUCACUCUCUGCUUGUUACUUGGUGAUAUAAAUGAAAUUUCAGUGUGAUUCCAAAAUCUACCUGUCUUCCUGUGCCAUAGAAAGUCUAUCCCACUGUCUGAGAAUGGAGAUAUACUAUAGAAAAUUGAAUUUCUAGAAUCUUAAGAGCUCUCUUAUGUUAGCUCCUGGAAGUUAAAUGCUCUCCUUUCAAAGGACCUGCCGAUUCCUUUUGACUCUCAUGACAUCAGCCACAUUUAUGGCUCACUGAUGCAAGUUGAGUGGACGAUUUAUUCACCAUCUUCUUGAAGCUAUUGUGGAGACAUGGUGCUUGCAUAGCAUUGGACAAACACACAGUGGCCUGAGAUGCCGGGACUCUGUACACUUCAACUGCACCAUUUUACCAACUAAGCAUCUCUGGAACUCACUCAUCUGCCUGUUUGCUACAAUCCGGCUUUUUAUAACAGAGAGAUAGGCCAGCUGCUGGUUCCACCCCAUUUCCACCAAGAAGACUGAUGGGCACUGAAGAAGCUUCAUCUUGAGUCAAUGACAACACUAGUCACUGAGCAACCCUGCCCUUCACCUCAACUGCUACAAAGUAUUCCAGACUGUGGACAAGAGGACAGUGGAAUCGACUUUCCCUGUGUUGCUUGGGCCAACGGAUUCUUGUAAGUUCCAGUGAGCGGAAUUGGAUCCAAACAAACAGGUCUAAGAGGCGCCAGGGAGUUCUGCACAGCCUGGACUGCAAUGAAACAACCAGCUACACCAGGACUUGGCAGCACCCUAACCUUCUCAGGUCCCCCAAAGAUGGUCAACGACCCCCACAUCAGCAGGAAGCAGUCUUGAGAAUUCGAUGUCCAUCCUUAUUCCUUAACCUGCUAUGUCUAAUACCCCACCUUUUUAAAUAAUAAGUAGAGGUGGGAAUGAAAGGUUCAGGCUUUAAUGCUGAUCGGCAAUAUCUCUUUAAGAGACAGACCCUGCCCCCUGACAACAGUCAGGGCACGCACAGGGACGUGCCAUCACCAAGUCACCCACUAUGCAUUACAGCCUGUGUGAGGACUCUGGGCAUUCGUGGAACCUCAGUGAGCAUGCUCAGUCUUCCCUUUAAAAGUUCCAACAUCCCUGCUGCUCUCUCUCUCUCUCUCUCUCUCUCUCUCAUCUCUCUCUCUCUCUACUUCACUCUCUCUUCUCCCACCCACGUGCUCUCUCUGCCUCUCUAUGGCAUCUGGCCAUGGUGGUCAGUCAUUACCCCUGUUCCUCUUCUCUCUUAGUCUCCCUACUCUGCCGGGCCCAUAUAACAUACUAGUCAAUAUGUCUCAUCUUGCGUCCUCCUCUUUUUCUUCAAAAACAUAACACUGGGAAUGUAUGCAUGCGCCACCAUGCCCAGAGUUCUUCUAAUAGUUGCUACCUACACUGGUCCUGGUGGGCCCUAGUACCCAACACCUACAGACUCCUAUUUAAGUAUAACUAAGUAACCGUUGGCUAAUGUUUCCUAAAUAAUUUUAUUUAAAAAAAACGGCAUGCUAAAAUAUGAAUCUAAAAAAUUAACUAUAUUUAUCAAAGGAAUGC